GGGCUUGUGGUUUAGUGGUAUAAUUUUCCCUUAGCAUGUCUACGAAGCUCUUGGACAUCGUUGGGAAAGGUCCUGGGUUCGAUUCCCAGCAAGUCCA
This is a non-coding RNA of Bimuria novae-zelandiae CBS 107.79, 97 nucleotides long. The record is from the annotation of a GenBank genome assembly. NCBI's taxonomy places the organism in Eukaryota, Fungi, Ascomycota, Dothideomycetes, Pleosporales, Didymosphaeriaceae.